GUUAUUAAAAGUGUGUAUUUUAUUUAAUAUUGAAGUAUUUAUAAGUCAUAGUCCGGCUCUCUCCAUUAUUUUCCCCUCUUUUAAAAGUGUCUGAGGGUUCAUGUGACAAUUUUUAACUAAUUAAGUAAAUAUGCAUAUACCAGCAGGUACGUUUAACCUAUGGAAGACAAAAUAGAGUCAGACUGGUUGGGGAUUUUUAGUAAUUUCAUCGGUUACUAAAAUCCAAAGGACUUCAUAAUCAGAAAGACGCCAAGUCCACGUUGCAACCAAGAUGGAGAGAAGAAGGGCACCUUUUUCUGGCUACUUUCCGCUCUGCAGUCUUCACUUGAAGGGUGACCUUUCAUAAGGAAACAUGGUAAAGUGGAAGUUCCGUAUUCCACGGAGAAGUGAAAAUGUGUGGCCACGCUUACACAAAGAAAUUAAAUAAGUCCAUUAUCUUCGCCACUUAAGAUAAGGCCAGAAAUUUGAAUCAGUUCAAAGUUUUGAAGACAAGUAAAACUCCAAUUUUUAAUAAUAACGCGAUCCAGCAACAACCACUAGGAUGUUCUUACAUUAGUGGAAAAUUAGUGGUAACUGAAACAGGAUGGAUUAUUGAUGAUACAAAUUCCUCAACAAAUUUUACUUGCUCCGUACGGCCUAACUUUAUGAAGCCAGCGAGAUAUGAAUGAAUUUUGGACGAAUCUCAUCCCCCGUCGUGGAUUUGGACGAGAACGAGUAAAAAUCUGGAUUAUCAUGCUCACUGAAGAAUUUCAAGAUGCUGAUUUCACAAAUAUGAUGUCAUUUCUCCGCUCGAGGGUCCUCUGCCAUUUCCAUCGAGUAUCACCACCAAGUACAUCAUGAAAAACUGGACGCCACGCCAAACUCAGCAAGACAUCGUCGACACACACCGUGGGAUCGCACCGCACAUAAUAAAAAAUAAGUAAAUUUUUUGGCGAGUAUACUUUUACUCAUGUAUCGAAUUUUAAAAUUAUUUCUUUUUUGCUUACAUCAUUUUUUUCUUCCAUUAGCUUACUUUCAGAGUGUAUUUACUGUUUAGAAGGGUAGCAGUAUUUUUAAGAGUGUAAUAUCUACAUACAUAAUUAUAAAUAGAUAAUAUUUAGGAUAGGGUGCGAGAUAGGAUCUAGUUUGCAUCAAAUUAAAAUUGCUUCAUUUGUAUUGAAGCAAUUUACGCAAGAUAUAUUUCAUUAAAGAAAUAUAAGUUUAUUUUAACAAAGUGAAGGGAAUUGGGAAUGGAAUAGGUUCGAAAAAUGUAUCACCAAAAAAAUAUGUCUGUCUAGCCCCUAAUUUACUUAGGACGAGAAAUGUAGCGAAUGCGACGCAAACCUGCAUAAUAUUUUACGUGUUCAGGUAGAAAAAUUGCAUUAUUCGUAUUAAUGCUGUUUUAGUGAAACUUAAUCAAUUAGUGAGUACAAUUUUAAUCUCACUUGUAGCAAAAUUGAAUAAUCUUUUGAGGUAUCUGCUUAGUUAGGUAGUCCAAAUUUUGCACGAGUCACUCAAAUCUUGCAACCGCUCAAAUACAUAAAUAAAUGAUGUGAAUACCUUAUACUAUGGGUCUUAGAAUAUAUGAAGUCUUCUGAUAAUCUAGCCUAUCUACAAAAAUAGUACUUACCGAUAUUUAGUAAUUUACUUAGCUUCACAUUGAAGCUGAUUUGUAUCAAAUUAAGAUUGCGUUAAUGGUAUUAAUUAAAUUUUUAAGAAAUAAGUGACGAAAAUAUUUAUAAAUUUAUCCUUUAAAAGUUGAGAUGGACAUUAAGAAAAAAAUGAGUUAGGUUUAAGAUUCAGAUAGAAAACUAAAGUUGCAAAAAUACUGAUUGACUAUGUCUCCUUUUAAACACGUACAAUUAUUCUCAACUAGCCAAACACGUGUCACAUUGUAACGUUGAUAUGUGUAGUUUGCAAAUAUUUUAUUAGAUUCGUUACGAGAAGUUGAGACUGACCGUACGAAAAAAAACGAGUUAGGUUUAAGAUUCAGAUAGAAAACUAAAGUUGCAAAAAUACUGAUUGACUACUCUCGAAACAUUGCACAAUUUAAUUUGCGAAAUAUUUAUGAACCCCACAACAAUGAAUUAAGUUAGUAUUAUUUGUAUUAAUGCAAUUUAAAACUCGUCUAUAUUGUUACGGAAACCCAAUUUAAAUAUCUGCCCACGAAGUCUAAAAACACAGGAGCAAUAUAGAAUCGAAAAAUGAUACCCUAACCGCUGCUGAUUUAUAGUAUAAUAUUAAUAUUUUGGUAUAUGUCCGUUCUUCGGAGAUUUGAACAUUGAUGUUUUCAAGAACGGAAAUGGAAUUUUUUUCUUAUCAUUAAUCUUAAUUAUAUCUACACUUAAUUAAAGUGGAUUAGGACAAGCUGAUGCAGAUGGGGGAUAUAAUGUAGUACUCGUCAUAUUUAGUUUUACAUUGAAGUCGAUUAGCAUCCAAUUAAGAUUGAAUUAUUUGUAUUAAUUCAAUCUUGAAAUAUAUAAGUUUACCAUGAGACGAAAAUAUUUAUAAAUUUAUGCCCCAAAUUCAGACGAACAGUAAGAAAAAUGGUUUAGGUUUACCAUUUAGAUAGAAAACUAAAGUUGCAAAAAUACUGAUUAAAAUUCCAAUUGUUCAUAACGUAAAACUAGUGUUUGAACGAGCACAGAUUACAUCGUAUCCGUGACAUUGCGAUUCUUGAAGAUUUUUUAACGUUUGCAUGAGUCUUUUGAAUUUUCACAAGAGAUAAAAUAAUCUAUAGGAUGAAACACCAACUAUGUAUACUGUUGGUAUAGUAUUCUUUUGCUUAUAUACAUAGCUUAAUAUAAAAUUGAAAUUUAGGUAAAAUUUAUUACACGCGUCACGUAAUUCUGAUCUGUUCACUGAUCAGAAUUACGUGCAGAAAGCUAGGAUAUCAAUAGGAUCGAUAAAUCACCAAUAAAAAACAAAUGUCUAUAAGCAUCCACUAACUUUACAAAAUUGUUUUAUAAUAUUUAUAUCAGGGUGCCCUUGGUCUACUUUUUAGUAUUUCGCCAACAUCCGGAUGCAUACGAUUAGGUGCCGAUUUGCAUUUUAUGAUUGCAUUAUUUGUAUUAAUGCAUAUUUUAGCUACACUUUUUUUGCUAGAAAAUAUGAUUAAUUGACUAACCGGGUAGACAUGUAAGGAUCUCAAAAUGAUCACCAACAAAGAAAAUACGCACGAUCAGCCCCUUCAUUGAUACUUUUUUCAAAUGCUUUAAAUCUGUUAGUUACGCCCACGACGUAUUCAGACAACUCUCGACAUUAACAAAGAUUAAUCCACAUGGUAACGAGCCAUUAAUUAAGUUUGUAUUGUUUGUAUUAAUACAAUUUAAAACUCGUUAAUACCGUUCAGAAAACCACAUUUUAAAAUUUGCUCGCAAAGUAUUCCGAAAAAGGUGCAAUAAUUCCCUACUUGCUACUUAUUUACUCUACAAUUUAGCUGAUCCUCAAGCUGGACAAAUAAAGUUUGUUAAUAUUGUGUAAAAAUAAUAAUAAACCAUUAAGCCGCAUUCAAUGCGUAAGAUACUCACAAACUAUCCCAAAAUGUCCCUUUGAGACAAUAAAUGCUAAAAUCAUUACAUGCAAGCGGCUACAGAGUUCAUUUCAGGUUCACUGUAUUUUGUAACUAUCGCACACUUGUUGGCUUUAUUAUACAUUUGGGGAGUUUGAUUCUUCAGGCAGAUCAUUAAGAAAAUGAUUAAUUUUAGGCAAUUGGUUCCCUCAUAAUUAACUAAAGAUUUCUAUAUGAAUUGCAAUUUUGCAACAUGUAUGUAGUUGUUUCAACAAACUUACUUGGUUUUAUACUCUCUAUUAUAUUUAUAACAUAUAGAUAUAGGUAAUUAUAUUUAUAUAUUUAUAACAUGUAUAUACUUACAAAUAAGCGAUCAUUAUGUAUGCGUAGUUUAGGAAAUCACAUAUGCACAUUAAUUCUUACAUAUUUAUGUCUGAUAGUAAUAUAAAUAAAUGUAUUUUUGUGAUAAAGUAUAUGUAUAUGUAAUAAAUGUAGACUUCUGUAAUGCUUCGUAUUUAACCCAAUUAUGUAUUCAUACUCUUUUUGUGUAUUUAAUGAGUAUGUACAUGUUUUAUAAUAAAAUGAAAUUCCCGUGAAAAAUAAAGUGUCGCUUAUGAAAUACUAGCGUA
Molecule: long non-coding RNA, 4119 nt
Organism: Folsomia candida
Lineage: Eukaryota; Metazoa; Arthropoda; Collembola; Entomobryomorpha; Isotomidae
Exons: 5
Source: RefSeq, a predicted model, not a curated record